CUAUUAGAGUUUAGCUGGAUGCUUAAUUAUGAGUUAAAGAGGAUUAGAUCAUGUUAAUGAGUUGGCAAUCUAAUCUCCUCCUUAUCUCCUUGAUAUUUUCUUUUGAAGUGAAAAAUUGAUGGAAAGAAGAGAUGGCGCCAUCCACUCUUUUUGGAAGGUCCAAGGGGCGCCAACCUCUUAGAAUGGAAUGAGAAAGAGAGAGGGGCCUACCCCCUCCUCUUGGUUUGGCAUGGAAGGA
RNAcentral lists this long non-coding RNA (238 nucleotides) under Elaeis guineensis (African oil palm). Its description in RNAcentral is "long non-coding RNA (EGUI_LNC067095)". The record is from RNAcentral. Lineage: Eukaryota; Viridiplantae; Streptophyta; Magnoliopsida; Arecales; Arecaceae.